RNAcentral lists this ribosomal RNA (415 nucleotides) under uncultured prokaryote. Its description in RNAcentral is "bacterial SSU rRNA". It matches the Rfam family "Bacterial small subunit ribosomal RNA", at positions 505 to 918 of the family's 1533-position model. The record is from RNAcentral.
AUGUCAGCCGCCGCGGUAAUACGUAGGUGGCAAGCGUUGUCCGGAUUUACUGGGCGUAAAGAGUGCGUAGGCGGUUCUUCAAGUCGGAUGUGAAAUCUCCCGGCUUAACCGGGAGGGGUCAUUCGAAACUGUCGGACUAGAGGACAGCAGGGGGAGGUGGAAUUCCCGGUGUAGUGGUGAAAUGCGUAGAUAUCGGGAGGAACACCAGUGGCGAAGGCGGCCUCCUGGGCUGUUUCUGACGCUGAGGCUCGAAAGUGUGGGGAGCGAACAGGAUUAGAUACCCUGGUAGUCCACACUGUAAACAAUGGACACUAGGUAUGGGGAGUAUCGACCCUUUCUGUGCCGAAGCUAACGCUUUAAGUGUCCCGCCCUGGGACUACGGCCGCAAGGCUAAAACUCAAAUGAAUUGACGGGG